This 9641-nucleotide long non-coding RNA is filed under the name Homo sapiens (human). RNAcentral's name for it is "non-protein coding CSTF3-DT:16". Lineage: Eukaryota; Metazoa; Chordata; Mammalia; Primates; Hominidae. The record is from RNAcentral.
GCUGACGUCACUACCCUGGCUUGGAGAGGCUGUUGCUGAGCCGGCUCCAACCGGCUGGAAGGCGGGAAGCUGUUUCGCCUGGAGGCUCGCGCGCUUUUUGGAAUUCAGUUAUCAAGCUUUAGAGCCUGGCUACUCACAGUUGAAGCCUGAUUGCAGGGUUCUUUUAACUCUUCUCUCCACACCCGCACUGGAGACCACUGGUAACCAUCUGUGGCCAUCACCUAAACUCUCACCCAGGUUGAUUUGUACAAAUAGCACAAGAGGACACCAACUCCAUGCAGAUGGCAGCCCAGCAGGUCACACCAGUCCUUCUGUCCUCACACUGGCAGACAGAGGCCUCCUCUCUGGAGUCUUCACAGGGGCCUGAGCUAGAGCUGGAAAUGCAGCUGGAGCUGCAGCCAAAGCUGGGGCUGCAGGGCCUUGAUUUGAGACUUGGCCUUGGUCUUGGGUGGGCAGAGUUUUCUCAAAGACCCCUCCCAUUGGAGACUUCCAGUUGCAAUUCCUGUGAUGUAGUUGAUGCUUUUCUCUGGCAGCCUACUUACACCUCCAUCCCUCAGCACUUGGAUGUCUGAUGGUUCAACUCAAACACACAUUCUUUUGGAAUCCCAUGUCCUUCUAGGCAGCCCAAUUGGGCAAGGUCCUUUUAAAGUCAAUUUCAGGUUGGUUUUUGCCCAUGAGUUCACUUGGCCCUCAUGUUAAUGCAGACCACUCCCAGAGAAGCCUCGCUUCUCUCCAUUCCCUGCCUCUUCAUGCUGCAAACCAUAUAUCACCUUAGAUUUUCCGGAUGUGCCACAACUCUGGGGGAUGCCAUCCCAGCCCUGGAAGUGGUGGUUUGGGUUUGGGCUUGGGUUUUUUGUUUGUUUGUUUUUUGAGAUAGGUUUGGUUUUGCUCUGUCACCCAAGCUGGAGCAAUACUUCCACUUCAGCCUUCCGAGUAGCUGGGUCUGCAGGCAUCGGCCACCAUGCCCAGCUAUUUUUUUUUUUUUUCCAGAGACAGAGUUUUCCCAUCUUGUCCAGGCUGGUCUCAAACUCCUGGGCUUGAGCAGUCCACCCACUUCAGUCUCCAGAGUGGUGGGAUUACAGGUCUGAACCACCUUACCCAGUCAGAAGUGGUGUUUUUGAAGACUUAUUUUGUUUUGUUUUGUUUUGUUUUUGAGAUAGAGUCAUGCUCUAUUGCCCAGGCUGGAGUACAGUGGUGGAGUCUCAGCUUACUUCAAUCUCCACCUCCCGGGUUCAAGUGAUUCUCCUGCCUCAGCCUUCCAAGCAGCUGGGAUUACAGGCAUCUGCCACCACACCCAGCUAAUUUUUGUAUUUUUAGUAGAGACAGGGUUUUAUCAUGUUGCCCAGGCUGGUCUUGAUCUCCUGACCUCAGAUGAUCCACCUGCCUCGGCCUCCCAAAGUGCUGGGAUUACAGGCAUAAACCACUGUGCCUGGCCUCUUUUUGGUUUAAGAUAAGGGAAAACACCAAAAAAAAAAAAAAAAAGAUAAGGGAAAACACCAUCCUCUUGGCCCUCAUGAACAUGAGGAAAACACACAGAGAUAACACACUCCAAAGAAAAUUCCCUUCUUAUGGCCACUUCAGUGCGAAGCCUUUUAUACCCUCAAGAUUGGUCUAAGGUUCAUAAGGCCAGUUUUUUAUUCUUGUAUUUGUAAAUCCUCUUUGGGAGGUAGCCAUUCUCUUUGGAAUGUGAGUGUUUACGAUAUCUACUAUUUUUCUCCUAAUUUUUGAGGGUAUAACUGAAACUAAGAAAGGAUCUCAUUAUAACAUUCUUUUUAACUUAUAUAUCCAGAGAAUACUUCUUCAAAAAAUAUUUUAAAAAAUGAAAAUUUCAACAAAUCUAAAGAUCUAAUUAGCUUUUAGUAGUGAUUCAUGAAUUGGGCAUCAUUCUGUCCAAAACAGAGGGAGCUCUGUUGGCCAUGCAGAAGAGUUGGUUUUUGUAAGGUAGCCUGAGCAGAAACGAGGAAACAGAAAAAUUUUAAAAAGUAGAUGGGUUAAGAUAAGUUUACGUCAAGGUACUUUCACUGUAAGGAUUAAAUCAUGUCCUUAUCACGUCAACCUGUUUUUAGGAAAAACUGGCCUGUUUGGGGAUUUCCUUGCUUCCUUAAAGUUUUAGCUUGAUUAUGUAGCACUUAGCAUGAAUGACUCCAUUUUGGUUUGGUCUGUUGGGGCCUGGUGCAAGAGCUCAGUCUAAAACAAUGGCCUCCUAUAAAUUUUAUUUAAUAAAGGAUACCUGAGAAAUGGAUGCCUACCUCCAGGGUUUGGGGAAAGGGUUGUGGAGGGAGACAUUUCACUGUAUAGCCUUUAACGCCUUUUAAAUCUUAUACCAUGUUCAUUUGUCACCUAUUCCACAUAUCUAAUCAUGUCCUAAAAUGCUUCCUGUUGCAAUAGCAGAAAAAAAAAACACACUAAAAAAAUGAGGUUUGGGCUGGGCACGGUGGCUCACACCUGUAAUCCCAGCACUUUGGGAGGCUGAGGCAGGUGGAUCACCUGAGGUCAGGGGUUCAAGACCAGCCUGAUCAACAUGGUGAAACCCCAUGGCUACUAAAAAUACAAAAUGAGCCAUGCAUGGUGGUGUGCACCUUAAUCCCAGCUACUUGAGAGGCUGAGGCAGGAGAAUCACUUGAACCCGCGAGGCAGAGGUUGCAGUGAGCCAAGAUCACGCCAUUGCACUCCAGCCUGGGCAAAAAGAGAAACUCCAUCUAAAAAACAGAAAAAAAAAACAAACAAAAACAAAUGAGGUUUGUUUUAAAAGCAAAAUUAUAACUCAAGGCACAAAGUGAAGAAUUGAUGUAUAUGUACAUUUACAUACCAAGAAAGGCACUUUGUCUUUAAUUCUCCAUAUAUCUUAGUUCUUCUUCUUUUUUUUUUUUUUUUUUUUUUGGCUAACUUACAUUGUCACAAUUCCUCACUGCUUAUUUACACCUUUCUGGUACCAUCAAACUGAUAAAUUAUGGUUGAUUUCAUUGUGCUUCAAUCUUGUUUACAUCUGAUUUUGAGUCAUAGAACUGCAAAAUUUGAAGGAAGCUUAAAUAUUAUUGUGUAAGUGUUCCUUGGGUCAUGGCUGACAAAGCUGAGGCCCUCAUACAGUCAUCACAGCAGAGACACACUCCAGGAAGCCUUUUGCAGAACAGUGAACCGGCCUGGCUUUUGUUGUGUAUGUUUGUUUCCUUUUUUUUUACGUUUAAUGCAAGUGUUGAAGAUAAAUGAAUGUACCCACUCUAUUAUAUAACACAAUGACAGCCUUUGUUCCUCCCUGGUGCUAUCCUUAGGGUAGGACUCAGUGUUUCUCUUUAUUUAUCAAAAGAAAGUUCAUUCUAUAAGGCACUAGAGGGAAGAUUUUGUAGAGAAGGUGGACUGGAGAGUUACAUCAUAUAACACACAGUAAAAUUUAAUGAAAGUCCCUGUUAAACAGUUUUGUUCUUCCCGUAAAUUCAUCUCCAGACAACAGCUGCCCCCUCUCCCUUAUAACCCUUUUUUCAGGCAGGCUGUUUAGGCCUGCCUGGUUACAAUCAGGUUUCCAGCCCCAGGGAUCUUCUUUCCAAACUCCUAAAUCACUCCUUUUUCUCCUGCAGAGUAAUUUAGCUCUCUCCUGGUUUCUUCAAUUUUGUAUCUUCACACCUGAAAUUCCGUUCAUCUAAUAAUCUACUUCCAUUAGAAGAAAGUAAGUAAUCCACAAAAUUUUUAAAAUAUUGGUUUUUAAAUUUAUCUAUUUAGGCCAGGCAUGAUGGCUCCCGCCUGUAAUCCCAGCACUUUAGGAUGCCGAGGCAGGCGAGUCACCUGAGGUCAGGAGUUUAAGACCAGCCUGGCCAACUUGGUGAAACCUCAUCUCCACUAAAAAUACAAAAAUUAGCUGGGCAUGGUGGCAGACACCUGUAAUCCCAGCUACUUGGGAGGCUGAGGCAGGAGAAUCGCUUGAACCCGGGAGGUGGAAGUUGCAGUGAGCCAAGAUCAUGUCACUGCACUCCAGCCUGGGCAACAAGAGUGAGACUCCAUCUCAAAAAAACAAAAGAAAUGAAAAAAUUUAUUUAUUUAUUUUAAGGCUAGUCAAGUGGAAGCAGUGGAAAUAGAAACAAAGAAAUCUGUAACUGGUUGUGAUCAAUUAGUUGUAAACACCACUGCACAGCCUAAAAAUAUUUGUCUCAAAAUAAUUUUUUCUUCAUGUCACAUUACAAGACAGCAACAAUAAGUAAGCACAGAGUCCGGGUUGAUACAGUUCAGGACAUUUGGUAUCGCAAAACCCCAGAAUAUUAGAGCUAUAAAGGCCCUGACUUAACAGAUGAAGAAACUGAGACCUAGAAUAAUAUCCUGUUAGUUGACCUCCAGAAUCUGUUUUCUCUUCUCCUACAGUGAUAGAUUUAUAGCUUGGUGUGGCCAUGACUAAAUUCUCACCAAUGGAAUGGAGACACAGGUGACUUGUGCAGAUUCCAAGUUGCCUGUUUAAAAGGAAGUUGUUGGCUGGGCGCGAUGGCUCACGCCUGCAAUCCCAACACUUUGGGAGGCCAAGGUGAGCGGAUCACGAGGUCAGGAAUUUGAGACCAGCCUGGCCAAUGUGGUGAAUCUCUACCAAAUGUGGCCAUCUCUACCAAAAAAAAAAAUACAAAAAUUAGCCGGGCAUGGUGGUGCAUGCCUGUAGUCCCAGGUACUUGGGAGGCUGAGGCAAAGAAUCUCUUGACCUGGGAGGCAGAGGUUGCAGCGAGCUGAGAUGAUACCACUGCACUCCAGCCUGGGCAACAGAGUGAGACCCUGUCUCAAGAAAAAUUAAAAAAAAAAAAUUUUUUUAAAGGAAGUUUCUUGUUCUUCAUCUCUUUUCCCCCAUUCUCUUGAACAAGAAAUCAGGCUUGAUAGCAACACAACUUGGAAGAUUCGGACAAAAAACGAUACCCUACCAUCUCGCUAUUCUGUGUGCUCCACGUGUAAGUAGCAUCAGCAUCACCUAAGAACUUGUUAGAAAGGUGGAAUCAUAGGACUCACUCCAGACAUACUGAAUCAGAGCCUGCAGUUUAACAAGAUGCUCAUGUGAUUCACCUUCAUAUUAAAGUUUGGGAAGAACUGAUUUAGAAAAUAGCAGAGCCAGGAGAUGGAAUCAGGAUUCCUGAUUGUCACAAGCUAAACUACACUGACAACUUGGACCACUUACUCCCCCCACCCCCAAUUUUCAAUUUUGGUAAAAUACACAUAACAUGAAAUUUACCACCUUAACCAUUUUUAAGUGUACUGUUUAGGGAUAUUAAGUACCUUGCAACCAUCACCACCAUCCAUUGCCUGAAUUCUUUCAUCUUGCAAAAUGGACACUUGAAACUCUACACCUAUUUUUUUGUUUUCUUUUGUUUUGUUUUGAGACAGAGUCUCACUCUGUCACCCCGGCUGGAGUGCAGUGGCGCAAUCUUAGCUCACUGCAACCUCUGCCCCCCCAGGUUCUAGCGAUUCUCCUGCCUCAGCCUCCUGAGUAGCUGGGAUUACACGCGCGUGCCACCACGCCCAGAUAAUUUUUGUAUUUUUAGUAGAGAUGGGGUUUCAUCAUGUUGGUCAGGCUGGUCUCGAAUUCCUGACCUCGUGAUCCGCCUGCCUCAGCCUCACAAAGUGCUGGGUUUACAGGCGUGAGCCACCUCACCCGGCCAAAACUCUAUACCUAUUAAACACCUCUCCGCUCACUCCUCCCACCAGCCCCCAGUAACCACUGUUCUACUUUCUCUUGAACUCAUCUAUUUUUGGAUUGUUGAGAGAGACUUAAGCCACGGUAUUUUGGGAUGUACUGCUCAGAUUUCCCCUUUUUAGGACCAAACCACUCAUUUUCUCAGCUACUGAGAGUAUUGGCAAAUGACAGACUAAGUUCAGUUCCUCUUCAGAAAUUGCCCUUGGCUGAAGAGAGAUACUUAACCCAAAGUCUUUCCAGAGUCAGUCAGUCCACAUCCAAUGGGUACAGCAGCCAAUGCAAGUAUUAAUACUAGUUGCCUUGCCCCAGUUUGGGAUAAUGCCAAGGGAUCAUUCCAACUACAGAGUUUCUCUUGAUUUAUUGCGAUUGCAUCACAAUUCAACUUUUUCCUCUGCCUAAUUCUUCCUUUCCUCCUCCACAGGGUUGAUCUGGUUAAUAUUCCCCAAUAAACAUCAUUUUGUAUCCUUGGCCUAGGCAUAAGAGCUGUACUAGUGAUGAAGGCCAUGACUCUACUCCCUCUCCCUCAUGAAGCCCCGGGCCCAGCCCCUGCCUGCCAAGAUAAUACAAAAUCAUAUACAUUUUGGGGGUAACGACAAAGAUUGGUGCUAUUUAUAUAAAGCCUAAAGGGUGCAGUGGCCAUGGUCCCCACAAUAUCUCCAUUCUAAAAAUCGGCCAAAACAUCUUCCAAAGUAACUGUAUUUUGCAUUCCCAGCAGCAUUUUGCAUUCCCAGCAGCAAUGAGUAAGAGUUUCAGCUUAUCAGUUAAAAAAAAAAAAGUAGUCAUUUUAAUCGGUGUGUAGUUGUAUCUCAUCAUAGUUUUAAGUUGCAUUUUUUUCUUCUUUUUUUUUUUUUUUUUUUUUUUUUUUUUUUUUUUUUUUUGAGAUAGGGCCUCACUCUGUCACCCAAGCUGGAAUACAGUGGUGCAAUCUCGGGUCACUGAAACCUCUGCCUCCUGGGCUCACAUGAUCCCCCACCUCAGCCUCCCAAGUAGUUGAAACCACAGGCACUUACCACCACACCCAGCUAUUUUUUUGUAUUUUUGGUACAGAUGGGGUUUCACCAUGUUGCCCAGGCUGGUCCUCCAACUCCUGAGCUCAAGUGAUCUCUCUGCCUUGGCCUUCUGAAGUGCUGGGAUUACAGGUGUGAGCCACUGAACCCAGCCUCAGUUGCAUUUCUUUAAUAACUACUAACAUUGAGCAUCUUUUCUUUUCUUUUCUUCUUUUUUUUUUGAGGCAGAGUUUCGUUCUUGUCGCCCAGGCUGCAGUGCAAUGGCGCCAUCUCUGCUCACUGCAACCUCUGCCUCCCAGGUUCAAGCGAUUCUCCUACCUCAGCCUCCCGAGUAGCUAGGAUUACAGAUGCCUGCCACCACGCUCAGCUAAUUUUUUGUAUUUUUAGUAGAGUCAGGGGUUUCACCAUGUUGGCCAUGCUGGUCUCUAAUUCCUGACCUCAAGUGAUCCACCCUCCUCAGCCUCCCAAAGUGCUAGGAUUAUAGGAAUGAGCCACCGUGCCUGGCCUUCAUGUUCUUAUUCUUCAUCUGUUCUAUUACUUGGUAAAGUGUCUUUUCAAUUCUUUUGCUUAUUUAAAAAAAAAUUGAAUUGUUUGUUUUCUUUUUUUUUUUGAGACAGAGUCUCACUCUGUCACCCAGGCUGGAGUGCAGUAGCGAGAUCUCGGCUCACUGCAACCUCUGCCUCCCAGGAUCAAGCAAUUCUCCUGUCUCAGCCUCCCAAGUAGCUUGGAGUACAGGCACACUCCAGCAUGCCUGGCUAACUUUUGUCUUUUUAGUAGAGAUGGGGUUUCACCAUACUGGUCAAGCUGGUCUCUCGAACUCCUGACCUCAGGUGAUCCACCCGCCUUGGCCUCCCAAAGUGCUGAGAUUACAGGCCUGAGCCACCGUGCCCGGCCUGUUUGUUUUCUUAUUAAGUUUUAAGAGUUCUUUGUGCAUUUUGGAUACACAUUCUUCAUCAGAUAUGUGUCUUGCAAAUAUUUUCUCCCAGUCUGUGACUUGUCUUUUCAUUUUUUACUGUUGUCUUUUGCAAAGCAGAAGUUUUUAAUUUUAACGAAAUUCAACUUAACAAUUUUUUUAUUUCGUGGACUAUGCUUUUGGUGUUGUAUCUAAAAGCUUAUUGUCGGCCAGGUGUGGUGCCGCACACCUGUAAUCCCAGCACUUUGGGAGGCCAAGACCAGUGGAUCACCUGAGGUCAGGAGUUCACGACCAGCCUAACAUGGUGAAACCCCAUUUCUACUAAAUACAAAAAAAUUAGCUGGGCCUGGUGGUGCAUGCCUGUAAUCCGAGCUACUUGGGAGGCUGAGACAGGAGAAUCGCUUGCAUCUGGGAGGUGGAGGUUGCAGUGAGCCGAGAUCGUGCCAUUACACUCCAGCCUGGGCAACAAGAGCGAAACUCCGUCUCACAAGGAAAAAAAAAAACAAAACAAUUUAUCACCAAACUCGAGGUCACCUAGAGAACACAGAAAUAUUUUCUUCCAGAGAUAUUACAGUUUUGCAUUUUACAUUUAGUUCUAAGAUCCACUUUGAGUUAAUUUUUGUGAAAGGUAUAAGGUGAGGUGUAUAUCUAGAUUCUUUCUUGCUUUCUUUUUCUCUUUUAUGCACACCAAAUCAUUCCAGCACCAUCUUUUCUCUAUUGAACUGCCUUUUCUUCUUUGCCAAGGAUCAGUUGGCUACAUUUGUGCUGGCCUAUUUCUGGGCUCUGUAGACUCUUCCAUGGAUCAAUGUGUCCUUCCUUCCUUCCUUCCUUCCUUCCUUCCUUCCUUCCUUCCUUCCUUCCUUCCUUCUUUCCUUCCUUCUUUCCUUCCUUUCUUCCUUCCCUCCCUCCCUCCUUUCUUUUCUUUUUCUUUUCUUUCUUUUCUUGAGAGACAGGGUCUUGCUUUGUCACCCAGGCUGGAGUGUGGAAUGCAGUGGUGCAAUCAUAGCUCACUGCAGCCUCGAACUCCUGGGCACAAGUGAUCCUCCCGCCUCAGCCUCCCAAGUAGCUAGGACUACAGGUGCGUGCCACCAUACCCAGAUAAUUUAUUUAAAAUUUUUUGUAGAGAUGGAAUCUUGUUACGUUGCCCAGGCUGGUCUUGAACUUCUGGCCUCAAGUGCUCCUCUCACUUCGACCUCCCAAAGUGCAGAGGUUAUAGGUGUGAGCUACUCGACCUGACCCUAUAUAUGUAUUCUUUUGUCACUACCAUGCCAUCUUUGCCCCUUAACUUUAUUGAGGUAUGAUUGACAAAUAAAAAUUGAAUAUUUUUAAGGUGUACAAUGUGAUGUUUUGAUAUAUGUGUACAUUGUGAAAUGAUUACCACAAUCAAGCUAACUGAUAUAUCUAUCAUAUCAUUUAGUUACCAUUGUGUGUGUGUGUGUGUGCGUGUGUCUGCAGUGUGAGAACACUUGAGUUCUACUCUCUUAGCAAAUUUCAAGUAUACUAUACAUUGUUAUUCACUAUAAUCACCAUGCUGAACAUUAAGUCUCCAGAACUCAUUCACCUUAUAACUAAAAGUUUGUACUCUUUGACUAAUUUCUUCCCUUUGCUCCCAUCCCCCAGCCCCUGGUAUCAUUCAUUCUACUCUCUGUUACUAUGGGUUCAACAUUUUUUUAGAUUCCACAUACAAGUGAGAUCAUGCCAUGCUGUCUUAAUUACUGUACCUUUAGAGUAAGUCUUGCUAUUAGAUGGUGUGAGUCUUCCAACUUUGUUCUUCUUCAGUAUUGUGUUGGCUAUUUUAGAUCUUUUGCUUUUCCAUACAAACUUCAGAAUCAUUUUGUUGGCCAGGCACGGUGGCUUACACCUGUAAUCUCAGCACUUUGGGAGGCCGAGGCAGGUGGAUCACCUGAGGUUGGGAGUUCAACACCAGCCUGGCCAACGUGGUGAAACCCCAUCUCUACUAAAAAUACAAAAAUUAGCCAGGUGUGGUGGCACGCACCUGUAAUCCCAGCUACUCGGGAGGCUGAGGCAGGAGAAUCGCUUGAACCCAGGAGGUGGAGUUUGCAGUGAG